UAUCUCUGUAGAGUCUGCAUAUCAAUAAGCGGAGGAAAAGAAACUAACUAGGAUUCCCUCAGUAACGGCGAGUGAAGCGGGAAGAGCUCAAAUUUGAAAUCUUCAAGGUUCUACCUUGACGAAUUGUAGUUUAAAGAAGUGUUUUCUGUUGGAGUUUUGGUAAAAGUUCUUUGGAAUAGGACACCAUAGAGGGUGAGAAUCCCGUAUUUGACCAUUAUUUCCAGCUUUGUGAUACACUUUCAAAGAGUCGGAUUGUUUGGGAAUGCAGUCCAAAAUGGGUGGUAAAUUUCAUCUAAAGCUAAAUAUUGGCGAGAGACCGAUAGCGAACAAGUACCGUGAGGGAAAGAUGAAAAGAACUUUGAAAAGAGAGUUAAACAGUACGUGAAAUUGUCAAAAGGGAAGCGUUUGACACCAGUGUUGUUUUUCCGAAAAUCAAUUACGAAUGUUUUGUUUUUAAGAAGUUAUGACUUCAUCGGCUUGCUUCUUUCUUUACGAAACUUUCUUAAUGCACUUUUCGGUUAACAAGUCAACAUCAAUUUCUUUUGUUGUAAAAGGGUACUGAGGAAGGUGGCUUUCUUUUCGGAGAAAGUGUUUAUAGCCUUGUGCCUCUGCAAUCGGAGAGAUUGAGGUCUGCAGCGUAGAUCCUUCGGGGUUAGAUACAUUUGUGCUAAGUUAUAGCUUUUCAUAGACAACUUGUUGACUAUGUUUAGUCUUGUAGCUUACUCGCUUAUGCUAUUUUACCUACGCUUAGGAUGUUGAUGUGAUACUGCGAGC
Molecule: ribosomal RNA, 774 nt
Filed under: uncultured Neocallimastigales
Lineage: Eukaryota; Fungi; Neocallimastigomycota; Neocallimastigomycetes; Neocallimastigales
Description: partial large subunit ribosomal RNA
Rfam family: Eukaryotic large subunit ribosomal RNA
Source: RNAcentral